UUUCACAGUUAGUCUUUAGACUACACGGCUUCACGCUCACAUAAACCCUAAGUUUCCUUCAUCUCCGGCCGCCGCUCAACCCUUCACCUUCACAGUUCACUUCAGUCGCCGCCGCUCAACCCUUCACAGUCACUUCAGUCGCCAGCGCCGCUCACCUUCAUCGCCGGCCGCCGCUAAUUCGCUGCUCAACUUCAUCGCUGAUUCGCUGCUCACCUUCAUCGCCGGCCGCCGCUCAACCCCUUCACAGUUAAGUCAUGAGUGAUUCACAAAAUAAAGUGGAGAAAAAGAAGGGCAAAACCCUGGUUUCAUUAAACAACAGGUUCCUUGAUUGCUAAUUUCAAAUAUGGAAUAAUAGGUCAUUUUCGUGUCUUAACAGGUCGUGUUCGGGUCUUAACACGUCGUGUUUGUGUCUUAAACAGGUCAUAUGAUAUGUUGGCAACAUUUUCGUGUCUUAACAGGUCAUUUCGUGUAACCUGUUUAUUA
Molecule: long non-coding RNA, 483 nt
Filed under: Helianthus annuus (common sunflower)
Lineage: Eukaryota; Viridiplantae; Streptophyta; Magnoliopsida; Asterales; Asteraceae
Description: sRNA HanXRQr2_Chr04g0150861
Source: RNAcentral